AAGCGGCAAAAGCUCAAAUUUGAAAGCUAGCACCUUCGGUGUUCGCGUUGUAAUUUGAAGAUAGUUUCCUUGAGUAGUCCUUUAUCUAUGUUCCUUGGAACAGGACGUCAUAGAGGGUGAGAACCCCGUAUGAUUUUGGAUACUACUCUUUGUGGGAUUCUAUCGAAGAGUCGAGUUGUUUGGGAAUGCAGCUCUAAGUGGGUGGUAAAUUCCAUCUAAAGCUAAAUAUUGGCGAGAGACCGAUAGCGAACAAGUACAGUGAUGGAAAGAUGAAAAGAACUCUGAAGAGAGAGUGAAAAAGUACGUGAAAUUGCUGAAAGGGAAGGGCUUGAGGUCAGACUUGGUGUUUAAUGAUUAUCAGUUCUUCUUGGACUGUGCACUCGUUUUUCACCGGGCCAAUAUCAGUUUUAGCGGUAGAGUACCCCUUGAAAUGUGGCUUCCUUCGGGGAGUGUUAUAGUCUUGGGGAGAUCUACUUGCUGGGACUGAGGACUGCGCUUCGGCAAGGAUAUUGGCGUAAUGACCUUAAGCCGCCCGUCUUGACC
Molecule: ribosomal RNA, 543 nt
Filed under: Saccharomycopsis fibuligera
Lineage: Eukaryota; Fungi; Ascomycota; Saccharomycetes; Ascoideales; Saccharomycopsidaceae
Description: eukaryotic LSU rRNA
Rfam family: Eukaryotic large subunit ribosomal RNA
Source: RNAcentral